AUUGAACGCUGGCGGCAGGCCUAACACAUGCAAGUCGAGCGGUAGAGAGAAGCUUGCUUCUCUUGAGAGCGGCGGACGGGUGAGUAAUGCCUAGGAAUCUGCCUGGUAGUGGGGGAUAACGUUCGGAAACGGACGCUAAUACCGCAUACGUCCUACGGGAGAAAGCAGGGGACCUUCGGGCCUUGCGCUAUCAGAUGAGCCUAGGUCGGAUUAGCCAGUUGGUGAGGUAAUGGCUCACCAAGGCGACGAUCCGUAACUGGUCUGAGAGGAUGAUCAGUCACACUGGAACUGAGACACGGUCCAGACUCCUACGGGAGGCAGCAGUGGGGAAUAUUGGACAAUGGGCGAAAGCCUGAUCCAGCCAUGCCGCGUGUGUGAAGAAGGUCUUCGGAUUGUAAAGCACUUUAAGUUGGGAGGAAGGGUUGUAGAUUAAUACUUUGCAAUUUUGACGUUACCGACAGAAUAAGCACCGGCUAACUCUGUGCCAGCAGCCGCGGUAAUACAGAGGGUGCAAGCGUUAAUCGGAAUUACUGGGCGUAAAGCGCGCGUAGGUGGUUUGUUAAGUUGGAUGUGAAAUCCCCGGGCUCAACCUGGGAACUGCAUUCAAAACUGACUGACUAGAGUAUGGUAGAGGGUGGUGGAAUUUCCUGUGUAGCGGUGAAAUGCGUAGAUAUAGGAAGGAACACCAGUGGCGAAGGCGACCACCUGGACUAACACUGACACUGAGGUGCGAAAGCGUGGGGAGCAAACAGG
This 753-nucleotide ribosomal RNA is filed under the name uncultured Pseudomonas sp. RNAcentral describes it as "bacterial SSU rRNA". It matches the Rfam family "Bacterial small subunit ribosomal RNA", at positions 28 to 776 of the family's 1533-position model. The record is from RNAcentral. Lineage: Bacteria; Pseudomonadati; Pseudomonadota; Gammaproteobacteria; Pseudomonadales; Pseudomonadaceae.